AUCAGCGCCAAUAGCGAGAGGAUCACCUGAUACCAUUCCGAACUCAGUAGUUAAAGUUCUUUACGCCAACGAUACUAUAAAGGUGAAAAUAGGAAGGUGCUUUUU
This 105-nucleotide ribosomal RNA is filed under the name Mycoplasmopsis felis. The record is from RNAcentral. Lineage: Bacteria; Bacillati; Mycoplasmatota; Mycoplasmoidales; Metamycoplasmataceae.